CGUUUCCGGGAACGGCAAACGGCAGGUUCGAACUUUCUUGGCAAAAUUUCCGUUGAACGUUUUCGUUUCAUAUUUUCUUUCUUGCGUCGAAAGAAUAAUUAUGUAUUUCAGUUUUAAAACAGCAAGUUCAUUUACUCUUUAUUGCCUGAUACCGUAAAAUUUUUCUUUGCCUGCCGUUUGACGUAUAACGCGAAGCUUAAACUCUCUAAUGCAUCAGGAACGCAGUGUUUACUGAAUGACGAUUCGGUGUAUAUGUGAUGCCACUGCCAGAUAACCAAAGGUUGAGCGUUGAUAGCUUGAGCGUUGCCUUGACAGC
Molecule: non-coding RNA, 316 nt
Organism: Paramuricea clavata
Lineage: Eukaryota; Metazoa; Cnidaria; Anthozoa; Malacalcyonacea; Plexauridae
Source: the annotation of a GenBank genome assembly